AAAUGAAAUUGAAAAGCUGCCACCUUUACAGCUAGAACUAUUUCCCUUGCCAAGAGACGUUCUGCUUAAAUUCCCAACCAUUGAUAUCAUAUUGAAGGUGGUGAUGGAAAACGAAAAUCAAGGUCUUCAAUUACUAAACUGUGAGAUGGGUGAAAUUGAUAAAUGUAAAUGUGAACAGCAUGUUGGACACUGGCGGUGUAUGUUAAUGCCUUCAGUAUCUGUCAGACACCGAAAACUCAUAUCUGAAUCACAAAGGAACUAUGAAAAGCGGUUAACCUUAAAACGGCGUCGAGAACCAUUUUCUGGCCACUUGCCUCCCUCUUCAAUAAUGGUAGGUUAUCUUUGUUUUUUGUCCUAUAAUACUCUGCUGUUACAUAAUUCUGAGUUUUUCUCUUAAUAUUACAUUUUUUGAUUUCUUUGCUAAUGUAGAUGUUUCAUAACCCUUUGGACUAAUGAUUUGUAUUUUUCUUUACAAAGACAUGUUACAUAAAGAUGCCUUUUGUCACUUUAAUGGAUGUUAUCACCCAUCCAAAGGAAAUGGUAAGUUUAAGUGUGCGGUUAGGGUUAUUGCAAUACGUCCAUUCCAGUCUGAAGAUUUUUGCUCUCCACAAGUAAUAUACAGGAUA
Impatiens glandulifera is the source of this 626-nucleotide long non-coding RNA. RefSeq lists it as uncharacterized. The record is from RefSeq and is a predicted model, not a curated record. Lineage: Eukaryota; Viridiplantae; Streptophyta; Magnoliopsida; Ericales; Balsaminaceae. The transcript has 3 exons.